AAGUAUCCUUACUGACUUAGCCAUAUUGCCAACUCUGUUUUCUUUUCCUAAUAUUUUGAUAUCUAUAGAAAAGUUAUGGGCUGGAGAGAUGGCUCAGUGGUUAAGAGCACCCGACUACUCUUCCAGAGGUCCUGAGUUCAAUUCCCAGCAACCACAUGGUGGCUCACAACCAUCUGUAAAGAGAUCUGAUCCCCUCUUCUGGUGUGUCUGAAGACAGCUACAGUGUACUUAUAUAUAAUAAAUGAAUAAAUUUAAAAAAGAAAAAAAA
RNAcentral lists this long non-coding RNA (268 nucleotides) under Rattus norvegicus (Norway rat). Its description in RNAcentral is "long non-coding RNA NONRATT004835". Lineage: Eukaryota; Metazoa; Chordata; Mammalia; Rodentia; Muridae. The record is from RNAcentral.